Naegleria gruberi is the source of this 75-nucleotide transfer RNA. It matches the Rfam family "tRNA". From Rfam's summary of the family: Transfer RNA (tRNA) molecules are approximately 80 nucleotides in length. The record is from Rfam. NCBI's taxonomy places the organism in Eukaryota, Heterolobosea, Eutetramitea, Acrasida, Naegleriidae.
CCCGCUGUAGUUCAAUGGUUAGAAUAUGCGACUUAUUCAUUCCGCAUGAUCCAGGUUCAAGUCCUGGUAGCGGGU